GUCUAUGGCCAUGCCACCCUGAACAAGCCCAAUCUCAUCUGAUCUCGGAAGCUAAGCAAGGUGAGGCCUGGUUACUACUUGGAUGGGAGACCACCUAGGAAGACUAGGUGCUGUAGGCG
This 119-nucleotide ribosomal RNA is filed under the name Pteropus alecto (black flying fox). Lineage: Eukaryota; Metazoa; Chordata; Mammalia; Chiroptera; Pteropodidae. The record is from RNAcentral.